Molecule: ribosomal RNA, 818 nt
Filed under: uncultured Pseudomonadota bacterium
Lineage: Bacteria; Pseudomonadati; Pseudomonadota
Description: bacterial SSU rRNA
Rfam family: Bacterial small subunit ribosomal RNA
Source: RNAcentral
AAAGUGGAGCAAUCCAUGAGUAGAGUGGCAAACGGGUGAGUAACACGUGGGUGACCUGCCUUCGAGUGGGGGAUAACGUCCCGAAAGGGACGCUAAUACCGCAUUACAUCCUGCCCUUGAACGGGUGGAGAUCAAAGCUGGGGAUCGCAAGACCUAGCGCUUGAAGAGGGGCCCGCGUCCGAUUAGCUAGUUGGUGAGGUAACGGCUCACCAAGGCAACGAUCGGUAUCCGGCCUGAGAGGGCGGACGGACACACUGGGACUGAGACACGGCCCAGACUCCUACGGGAGGCAGCAGUGGGGAAUUGUUCGCAAUGGGCGCAAGCCUGACGACGCAACGCCGCGUGGAGGAUGAAGAUCUUCGGGUCGUAAACUCCUUUCGAUCGAGACGAACGGCUUCCGUGCUAAUCAACGGAAGAGUGACGGUACCGAGAGAAGAAGCCCCGGCUAACUCCGUGCCAGCAGCCGCGGUAAUACGGGGGGGGCAAGCGUUGUUCGGAAUUACUGGGCGUAAAGGGCUCGUAGGCGGCCAACUAAGUCAGACGUGAAAUCCCUCGGCUUAACCGGGGAACUGCGUCUGAUACUGGAUGGCUUGAGGUUGGGAGAGGGAUGCGGAAUUCCAGGUGUAGCGGUGAAAUGCGUAGAUAUCUGGAGGAACACCGGUGGCGAAGGCGGCAUCCUGGACCAAUUCUGACGCUGAGGAGCGAAAGCUAGGGGAGCAAACGGGAUUAGAUACCCCGGUAGUCCUAGCCCUAAACGAUGAAUGCUUGGUGUGGCGGGUAUCGAUCCCUGCCGUGCCGAAGCUAACGCAUUAAGCAUU